Lonchura striata (white-rumped munia) is the source of this 1115-nucleotide non-coding RNA. NCBI's taxonomy places the organism in Eukaryota, Metazoa, Chordata, Aves, Passeriformes, Estrildidae. The record is from RefSeq and is a predicted model, not a curated record.
AAGCCAGGAGGGUGGGAAGGAGGGAGGAAGUGAGAAGUAAGGACCUCCUUCUCCCCACUCAGUCCCUUUAGAUUCCUCUUCUAGCUCAGGAUCUCCCAACAUAAUUAAAAAUAUAUCCUUUUUCUUCCCCUCACUAUCCCCACAUAGGGUUUUCAGAUGCUGUGGAAAAGAAUUAAUUUACCACUGGAUGUUGUAGCAUGCCUGAUGUCUUUGGCUCUCACUAACAUCAGUGGAUUAACAUCAGCUUGCAGGAUUAGACCCAUUACGUGCACUCCACGUGUGGUGCAGUCACCAAUUCAUCUGUCAUAUUGUGGUUUUCAAAGCUGAACUGAGAAUGCUCUGAAAGGAAUUCGAAGUUGAAGAGCUGCAGGAAGACCUAGGUAGGGAAUUACAUUUUCAUUGUGGCUAACUUUCAAUGACACUGAAGAUGUCUCACUCGGAAGAUCAUCAGACCCACACCUCCUCUUCUACUUCAACAGACAACGCUUCAUUCAUUUGAUGUAGAAACUCUGAAGAAAGUAAUUUUCAUUUUGAAAUAAGUGUGAAUUCUUUUUAUCUUGAGAUUUAACAACUGUUGACAAUGCUUACAUUUUGCUUCACAAAAAUGAGCUGUUUUCAUAACUUCAGUCUUUCCAAUCACUUUUUCCCACCAAGUCUUUCCCUUUCUCAACCCAGAUUAAAAUAAAUGUAAUUUUAGUUAUGACUACUUCUAAGUUACCUAUUUGUUGUAUUCAUAAAAAAACCUAUCCUCUUUACUAAAAAGAAAAUUAAAAUAACCACUUCUUGAAGUUAACACUCUAAAAAAUGGAAAAAAUAUUUAUUAAUCAUGAUCUUCAAUGAUUUAUCUUCCAUUAAUUUCUAGCAGAUCAAAUCCAUCCUUGAUAACAUGAUACUCUUGCCAAUUUUCUCCUUCACUAUAUCUAACAUUUAGCUCCAUCUCUGUUCUCCUGUGGCUAGGAAUAUAAUAAAUUCCACCCAUAAGGCUUCCAGUUCUGUAGCUAUGUUUAGUACAAAGAAUUUGGUUUUUUGUUUAUAAUAUUUAUUUCACAUUGAUUUAAUGUGCACAUGAAGACAAAAAUGGAAACAAGAAUAAAAGCGAAACAAGGCCUAACUUC